CCGGCACGGCGGCUCAGCAACGGCGGCGACUUGGUUCGGGCUUGAACCUUAUCGAUCUCCUUCUUCCUCCCUACUUCUGCUAGUAACUUGUAUCCCCUAUUCAAUCCCAUUUCCACCACAAAGCUUGAGUUGUAGUAAUACAAUUGCAGCUCAAAACCACCUCGACCUUCAUUGCUUGUACUGUAUAUUGGUUCAUUGAGAUUUAGAUAUUGGGUUGCUAACAAUCUGGUAUCAGAGCCGUUCGGUUCACUGGGAUUCUUGUCAUGGAGGAGUUUGGGAGGCAGCCAUGCAAGAGGGAGCAGGAAUUAGGUUGGGAAAGUUUUCAUCCAAGCAGCGCCCACCAUCUGUUCGAUGAAAUGUCAAGCCCAUUGGAGGUGUUUGAGGAAGACGUUCUUCUUGUCAUGAGUGAGGAGAACAUCACAUGGGAUGAAGCACUCCAUCUGUUACAAGAGGAACUGAAGGAUGCCCAAUGUAGAUUUGAUGAGAAGCUAGAUCGUUUUUUGGAGGUGUUCGGCUUGAUGGGAGACAAGAGCAAUCAAUCUGAGGGAGACAAAAGGAGCAAUGAAUUUAAGGAAUUCAGUGCCUCCAUCAAGGAGCUCACCCCCACCACCGAGGCUGCUGCAUUUCAAUCACCCCAAGCAUCACCUUCUUCAGCGCCCACCAAGUGUUCGAUGAUUUGCUUUGGCCUCGACACCAUGUCCGACCUCAACAUGGCAGCAGCGGUUGUGUGCGCCACCACUUCUCUAGCCUCCGUGGAGUUAGUGGCUAGAGGGAACGCAACCUGUGAACCCUACGUCAACACCCCUGGUCAUCCCAAGGAGACGCACACCAAGUGUUCGAUGGUUGGCUUUGAGGUCAAGGGUGGCACCGACCACACCAAGGUCACAUGCCAUACCAUGAUGGGUGUGCCUGAUGGCGUUCUAGUACCUGAAGCAUCAUUCCAUGAAGCGUCCAAGUAUCCAAUCCUGUAG
RNAcentral lists this long non-coding RNA (971 nucleotides) under Oryza sativa Indica Group (long-grained rice). RNAcentral describes it as "lncRNA OsMH63_05G024230". RNAcentral also lists the same sequence under 1 other name. Lineage: Eukaryota; Viridiplantae; Streptophyta; Magnoliopsida; Poales; Poaceae. The record is from RNAcentral.